CUGGGAAGUGCCCGUCACGGGAACUCGGAGACAGGUGCUGCAUGGCUGUCGUCAGCUCGUGUCGUGAGAUGUUGGGUUAAGUCCCGCAACGAGCGCAACCCUUGUCAUUAGUUGCCAUCAUUAGUUGGGCACUCUAAUGAGACUGCCGGUGAUAAACCGAGGAAGGCGGGGAUGACGUCAAGUCCUCAUGGCCCUUACAUCCCGGGCUACACACGUGCUACAAUGGCAGGUACAGAGGGCUGCGAAGCCGCGAGGUGGAGCGAAUCCCAGAAAACCUGUCUCAGUCCGGAUUGAAGUCUGCAACUCGACUUCAUGAAGGCGGAAUCGCUAGUAACCGCGAAUCAGCAGGUCGCGGUGAAUACGUUCCCGGGCCUU
RNAcentral lists this ribosomal RNA (375 nucleotides) under uncultured Latescibacterota bacterium. RNAcentral describes it as "bacterial SSU rRNA". It matches the Rfam family "Bacterial small subunit ribosomal RNA", at positions 1001 to 1382 of the family's 1533-position model. The record is from RNAcentral. Lineage: Bacteria; Pseudomonadati; Candidatus Latescibacterota.